Molecule: ribosomal RNA, 484 nt
Filed under: uncultured bacterium
Lineage: Bacteria
Description: partial 16S ribosomal RNA
Rfam family: Bacterial small subunit ribosomal RNA
Source: RNAcentral
AUUGAACGCUGGCGGAAUGCUUUACACAUGCAAGUCGAACGGCAGCACGGGGGCAGCCCUGGUGGCGAGUGGCGAACGGGUGAGUAAUACAUCGGAACGUGCCCGGUCGUGGGGGAUAACGUAGCGAAAGUUACGCUAAUACCGCAUACGAUCUGAGGAUGAAAGCGGGGGACCUUCGGGCCUCGCGCGAUCGGAGCGGCCGAUGUCAGAUUAGCUAGUUGGUGGGGUAAAGGCCUACCAAGCCGACGAUCUGUAGCUGGUCUGAGAGGACGACCGGCCACACUGGGACUGAGACACGGCCCAGACUCCUACGGGAGGCAGCAGUGGGGAAUUUUGGACAAUGGGCGCAAGCCUGAUCCAGCCAUGCCGCGUGAAGGACGAAGGCCUUCGGGUUGUAAACUGCUUUUGUAAGGAACGAAAAGGCUCUGGCUAAUACCUGGGGCUCAUGACGGUACCGUAAGAAUAAGCACCGGCUAACUACGUG